UAGUAACUGCGAGUGAAGCGGGAUGAGCUCAAAUUUAAAAUCUGGCGUCUUCGGCGUCCGAGUUGUAAUUUAGAGAAGCGUUUUCCGCGCCGGACCGUGUACAAGUCUCCUGGAACGGAGCGUCAUAGAGGGUGAGAAUCCCGUCUUUGACACGGACCCCCGGUGCUCUGUGAUACGCUCUCGAAGAGUCGAGUUGUUUGGGAAUGCAGCUCAAAAUGGGUGGUGAACUCCAUCUAAAGCUAAAUAUUGGCGAGAGACCGAUAGCGAACAAGUACCGUGAGGGAAAGAUGAAAAGCACUUUGGAAAGAGAGUGAAACAGUACGUGAAAUUGUUGAAAGGGAAACGCUUGAAGUCAGUCGCGUCCGCCGGGAUUCAGCCUUCGGGUGUACUUUCCGGUGGACGGGCCAGCAUCACUUUCAAUCAUCGGACAAGGUCGAGAGGAAUGUGGCACCUUCGGGUGUGUUAUAGCCUCUUGUCGUAUACGGUGACUGGGAGUGAGGACCGCCUUUGUAGGAUGCUGGCGUAAUGGCUUUAAACGACCCGUCUUGAAACACGGACCAAGGAGUCUAACAUGCCCGCGAGUGUUUGGGUGGAAAACCCAUGCGCGUAAUGAAAGUGAAAGUUGGGAAGGCUGUCGCGGCCUGCACCGACGCCCGGACUCGAGAUUUAUCUAAGGUUCUGCGGUAGAGCGUGUAUGUUGGGACCCGAAAGAUGGUGAACUAUGCCUGAAUAGGGUGAAGCCAGAGGAAACUCUGGUGGAGGCUCGUAGCGAUUCUGACGUGCAAAUCGAUCGUCAAAUUUGGGUAUAGGGGCGAAAGACUAAUCGAACCAUCUAGUAGCU
RNAcentral lists this ribosomal RNA (841 nucleotides) under fungal sp. RNAcentral describes it as "partial large subunit ribosomal RNA". It matches the Rfam family "Eukaryotic large subunit ribosomal RNA", at positions 81 to 952 of the family's 3401-position model. Lineage: Eukaryota; Fungi. The record is from RNAcentral.